AACGAACGCUGGCGGCGCGCCUAACACAUGCAAGUCGAACGAGAAGGCGUAGCAAUACGCUUGUAGAGUGGCGAACGGGUGAGUAAUACGUGGGUGACCUACCCUCGAGUGGGGAAUAACCCGCCGAAAGGCGGGCUAAUGCCGCGUACGCUUCCGUCCUCACGGGGACGGAAGGAAAGCUGUACCGUGGGUACGGCGCUCAAGGAUGGGCUCACGUCCUAUCAGCUUGUUGGUAGGGUAACGGCCACCAAGGCUACGACGGGUAGCUGGUCUGAGAGGACGAUCAGCCACACUGGCACUGCGACACGGGCCAGACUCCUACGGGAGGCAGCAGUGAGGAAUAUUGCGCAAUGGGCGAAAGCCUGACGCAGCGACGCCGCGUGGGGGAUGAAGGUCUUCGGAUU
This 404-nucleotide ribosomal RNA is filed under the name uncultured bacterium. Its description in RNAcentral is "bacterial SSU rRNA". It matches the Rfam family "Bacterial small subunit ribosomal RNA", at positions 29 to 424 of the family's 1533-position model. The record is from RNAcentral.